RNAcentral lists this ribosomal RNA (321 nucleotides) under uncultured eukaryote. RNAcentral describes it as "partial 18S ribosomal RNA". It matches the Rfam family "Eukaryotic small subunit ribosomal RNA", at positions 1470 to 1796 of the family's 1831-position model. The record is from RNAcentral.
CCCUUAGAUGUCCUGGGCCGCACGCGCGCUACACUGACAUGUUCAACAAGCCUCCUAGUUCGACAGGAUUUGGGAAAUCUUCGAACGCAUGUCGUGAUAGGGAUAGAUCAUUGCAAUUAUUGAUCUUGAACGAGGAAUUCCUAGUAAACGCGAGUCAUCAGCUCGCAUUGAUUACGUCCCUGCCCUUUGUACACACCGCCCGUCGCACCUACCGAUUGAAUGUUUCGGUGAAGAUUCCGGAUAGGACUUUUUUGAUUUAUUUCAAUUCUGUCUUAAAAGCUAUCUAAACCUCAACAUUUAGAGGAAGGUGAAGUCGUAACA